UGGGUCACAUAUGGGGCUGACUGCACCUC
This 29-nucleotide non-coding RNA is filed under the name Mus musculus (house mouse). Lineage: Eukaryota; Metazoa; Chordata; Mammalia; Rodentia; Muridae. The record is from RNAcentral.